AGCUCCAGUAGCGUAUAUUAAAGUUGUUGCAUUUAAAAAGCUCGUAGUUGGUGGUUCGCUUGGUGUCGCGGGUGCUAGUCACUUGUGGCUUCCAGGUGGUACUCGGUGGUGACGCCGUUUGCACCGUGAGAAAAUUAGAGUGAUCCAAACAGUCUGGGACUGAAUGCUUCAGCACGGCAUGGGGUUUUGAUUCCGCUUCUGGAGCACUUGUGUGAGGGUUGCGGGGUAAAGGUUAAUAGAGACAGACGAUGGGAUCCGUAUUGAGUUGCUAGAGGUGAAAUUCUUGGACCAACUCAAGACGCUCUGAAGCGAAAGCUCUUUCCACGCAUGUCCUUA
RNAcentral lists this ribosomal RNA (336 nucleotides) under uncultured eukaryote. Its description in RNAcentral is "partial small subunit ribosomal RNA". It matches the Rfam family "Eukaryotic small subunit ribosomal RNA", at positions 587 to 972 of the family's 1831-position model. The record is from RNAcentral.